Long non-coding RNA from Mastomys coucha (southern multimammate mouse), 442 nucleotides. RefSeq lists it as uncharacterized. Lineage: Eukaryota; Metazoa; Chordata; Mammalia; Rodentia; Muridae. The record is from RefSeq and is a predicted model, not a curated record. The transcript is spliced from 3 exons.
UCUUCCGACGCCUCCUGCUGAAGACAGACUCACGUUUAACACUGCGUAGUGUACAGUGUGGAGGCUGAGGUCUGGGCUCGAAUCCGCUGGGGUGUAACUGCUGUGCCUUCUGGAUGAGAAUCCUGGAUCACGGAGACUGAGUGCUCCGUGGGGAUACAGUGGAUGGAGGAGUGUGAUCCAGCUAUGACACCACAGGCCAUGGCCAGUGUGCCCACCAGCUCAGCUCAGAGCAAACAGCCACCAAGCCGAAUGUACACUGUGGGUCUUCUGUGCCAAGUUUCACGCCAGCCAGCUGUUGUCAGCAAUGAGAGAAGACAGCGCCAGGCCAGAAGUCUCCGGAAACCCCACUCCAUGCACCUGGAUCCUGAAACUCUACCAUGAAUCAUUCGGCCAUUUUGCAGGUGGUUUUGCUUCAGAUCAACCAGUCUCUUUUAGAACCUUC